ACGGCUGCUCAGUAACACGUAGUCAACUUACCCUAUGGACGAGGAUAAUCUCGGGAAACUGAGCAUAAUACUCGAUAGAUCAUAAUGCCUGGAAUGGUUUAUGGUUAAAAUGAUUCGUCGCCAUUGGAUGGGACUGCGGCCUAUCAGCUUGUUGGUGAGGUAAUGGCCCACCAAGGCGAUAACAGGUACGGGCUCUGAGAGGAGAGGCCCGGAGAUGGGUACUGAGACAAGGACCCAGGCCCUAUGGGGCGCAGCAGGCGAGAAAACUUUGCAAUGUGCGAAAGCACGACAAGGUUAGUCCGAGUGAUUUCUGCUAAAGAGAUCUUUUGCUAGUCAUAAAACCACUAGUGAAUAAGGGGUGGGCAAGUUCUGGUGUCAGCCGCCGCGGUAAAACCAGCACCUCAAGUGGUCAGGAUGAUUAUUGGGCCUAAAGCAUCCGUAGCCGGCUCUGUAAGUUUUCGGUUAAAUCUAUGCGCUCAACGUAUGGGCUGCCGAAAAUACUGCAGAGAUAGGGAGUGGGAGAGGUAGACGGUACUCGGUAGGAAGGGGUAAAAUCCUUUGAUCUAUCGAUGACCACCUGUGGCGAAGGCGGUCUACCAGAACACGUUCGACGGUGAGGGAUGAAAGCUGGGGGAGCAAACCGGAUUAGAUACCCGGGUAGUCCCAGCUGUAAACGAUGCAGACUCGAUGAUGCAUUGGCAUAUAGCCAGUGCAGUGUCGCAGGGAAGCCGUUAAGUCUGCCGCCUGGGAAGUACGUACGCAAGUAUGAAACUUAAAGGAAUUGGCGGGGGAGCAG
RNAcentral lists this ribosomal RNA (796 nucleotides) under uncultured marine thaumarchaeote. Its description in RNAcentral is "bacterial SSU rRNA". It matches the Rfam family "Archaeal small subunit ribosomal RNA", at positions 82 to 879 of the family's 1478-position model. The record is from RNAcentral. Lineage: Archaea; Thermoproteati; Nitrososphaerota.